AAGGGAGACCUAAUUCAGGUAUGGGACGAAAAAAAAGUAGUCGCUACCAAGAAUCAAUCCCAAAAGGUCGGAGCGAGGUAUGAGGCUUUCAAACUAGGUUCUGGGUUCAAACAAGACCUGAAUCAGGAACAAGGGCUAUUAGCUCAGGUGGUUAGAGCGCACCCCUGAUAAGGGUGAGGUCCCUGGUUCGAGUCCAGGAUGGCCCACCUGCACAGGUGGCAAAAACAAGAGAAGCGAGGAAUCAGCACCUUAUCUUAUCUAUAUAUAAGAGAGAAUGCUGGCUCUGAGUACAGAGUCCAGAGGAACCUUGAAAACUGCAUAGAGCUAGGUGAAAAAGCCAAAAAAGAAGACCGCAA
This 356-nucleotide transfer RNA is filed under the name uncultured Microcystis sp. RNAcentral describes it as "partial 16S-23S ribosomal RNA intergenic spacer". The stretch from base 133 to 206 matches the Rfam family "tRNA". The record is from RNAcentral. Lineage: Bacteria; Bacillati; Cyanobacteriota; Cyanophyceae; Chroococcales; Microcystaceae.